UUGUGGGAGUUGAAUUCGCAAAUAAAUAUAUUGGAUUUUUUGUUCUUUUAAUUUGAGUUAAGAUAUAGGACAUUGUUUAUGUGGAUCUAAUAGGAAGUUUUAGGCCCAUGACGGUUCACUUCUUAUUUAACUUGCGCAUGAAUACAUGUGGUUCCGAAUGACAGAUGAAUGAAUGGUCUUUUUUUACCAAAGAUCCAGCUGAGAUCCCAUGGAUUGAUUUUGGAGGUGAAUACAUUGUUGAAUCUUCUGGUGUUUUCACGACAACAGAAAAGGUAUGCUUUCACUUGAAGGCGUGCUGCACCUUUUUGACAUCCUAAUUUUCCAUAAUUCUGCUUGGUGCAAAAAAGAUGGCAAUAUCAACUCCAUCUGCUGGGACUCCUCUGUUUGUGGUUGGUGUAAAUGAUAAGGCACAGGAACCGAGCAUCGAGUGGUGUCUCUAAUGCAAGCUUUACAACCAUAUUCUCAAAUUGCGGAGGUAGGCUGCUUCAUAAUAUGUUCCUCUUGCCAACUAUCUUUUUUGUUGUUUGCCAAAUGUAUGAAAACUGAAGGUUUUUUGCUUUUGUUUGUCUAAUGUUUUGACAG
RNAcentral lists this long non-coding RNA (582 nucleotides) under Musa acuminata (dwarf banana). RNAcentral describes it as "long non-coding RNA (MACU_LNC005586)". The record is from RNAcentral. Lineage: Eukaryota; Viridiplantae; Streptophyta; Magnoliopsida; Zingiberales; Musaceae.